RNAcentral lists this ribosomal RNA (468 nucleotides) under uncultured bacterium. Its description in RNAcentral is "partial 16S ribosomal RNA". It matches the Rfam family "Bacterial small subunit ribosomal RNA", at positions 28 to 507 of the family's 1533-position model. The record is from RNAcentral.
GACGAACGCUGGCGGCGUGCUUAACACAUGCAAGUCGAACGGAAAGGCCCUGCUUUUGUGGGGUGCUCGAGUGGCGAACGGGUGAGUAACACGUGAGUAACCUGCCCUUGACUUUGGGAUAACUUCAGGAAACUGGGGCUAAUACCGGAUAGGAGCUCCUGCUGCAUGGUGGGGGUUGGAAAGUUUCGGCGGUUGGGGAUGGACUCGCGGCUUAUCAGCUUGUUGGUGGGGUAGUGGCUUACCAAGGCUUUGACGGGUAGCCGGCCUGAGAGGGUGACCGGCCACAUUGGGACUGAGAUACGGACCAGACUCCUACGGGAGGCAGCAGUGGGGAAUAUUGCACAAUGGGCGGAAGCCUGAUGCAGCAACGCCGCGUGCGGGAUGACGGCCUUCGGGUUGUAAACCGCUUUCGCAUGUGACGAAGCGUGAGUGACGGUAAUGGGUAAAGAAGCACCGGCUAACUACGUG